GAGUUUGAUCGUGGCUCAGAUUGAACGCUGGCGGCAUGCCUUACACAUGCAAGUCGAACGGCAGCAUGAUCUAGCUUGCUAGAUUGAUGGCGAGUGGCGAACGGGUGAGUAAUACAUCGGGAACGUGCCCUGUAGUGGGGGAUAACUAGUCGAAAGAUUAGCUAAUACCCGCAGUACGACCGUGAGGGUGAAAGUGGGGGACCGCAAGGCCUCAUGCUAUAGGAGCGGCCGAUGUCUGAUUAGCUAGUUGGUGGGGUAAAGGCCCACCAAGGCGACGAUCAGUAGCUGGUCUGAGAGGACGGAUCAGCCACACCUGGGACUGAGACACGGCCCAGACUCC
This 340-nucleotide ribosomal RNA is filed under the name uncultured microorganism. Its description in RNAcentral is "bacterial SSU rRNA". It matches the Rfam family "Bacterial small subunit ribosomal RNA", at positions 9 to 339 of the family's 1533-position model. The record is from RNAcentral.